Molecule: unclassified non-coding RNA, 468 nt
Filed under: Hevea brasiliensis (rubber tree)
Lineage: Eukaryota; Viridiplantae; Streptophyta; Magnoliopsida; Malpighiales; Euphorbiaceae
Source: RNAcentral
GUAUAAUUGCCCUAUUAACUGCUUUUUUCUUCCAGACGAUACUCAUUAACUUGUUCCUUUCUCGUAUGUCCUUUGGGAGAAUGCUUUCGAGGUUGUUUCUUGAAGCAACUCUGUGGAAGCAUAGUUGAGCAUAUUUAGGUCUCUACCAUGUUGGUUUAGUUGGUCUGCUUUAAGAUGUCUUUCAAUUAAAAAGUGCAAUACAUUUAAAAUUGUGUCAUGCCACACUGCGGCAGUUUAGAACUUGGGAUGCAUUUCGCCAAUUCUGACGUAUAAAAUUUAAGAUACUAAAUUAAACAAAAUGAUAUUCUGAAUGAUACAAAUAAUUCACCUAAAAUGCUUUUCUUGGUUUGUCUCGACUCAAUUUUCCUUUCCAGAAACCAAUCGUCUUUGACAAAUCUUAUUCUUUUGUCAUGCUUGGUUGCCUAAAAAUAAAGUUCCAAAAUUAUUCCUCUUGUAUUGUAUCUGUUG